This is a long non-coding RNA of Tympanuchus pallidicinctus (lesser prairie-chicken), 1011 nucleotides long. RefSeq lists it as uncharacterized. The record is from RefSeq and is a predicted model, not a curated record. NCBI's taxonomy places the organism in Eukaryota, Metazoa, Chordata, Aves, Galliformes, Phasianidae. The transcript has 3 exons.
AGAGUGCUUUAUAACCAGAGAGUGCUUUUGCCAGUGGGGACUCCCCUGUGAAUAGAAGGAAUAGUAUUAUCAGUACUACAAACCUUGGGAAAUGAAUGUGAAGCCUGAAGUGACAGCAACUUAGCCAAGCUCCAGGCAGGAUAUUCUGCAGCACGAUCUACAAUAGAGUGAUAUUUUAAAGAGCUUCUACAAGCUAGAGCCUUCAGUUAUCUUCAGAUUGUCAGCUGCAGGCAGGGAAGAGUGAAUGAAACCUUGUCUAUGCCGCUGAUCAGCAACAAGAUCCAGAAUAAGGUUCUUCAAAAUGCAGCAGUAGUAAGAAAAUCUAUUUCUCCCUACUUUCCAACUUGGCCUGUUUAGUUUCUUCAGCUGUCAUGCCUGUGAUUUGUAAGCAUAAGCUUGUAUGCAGUGCAGUAAUUUUUGUUUGUUUCAUGUCGUACUAUAGGGCUGCACCAAAAGGCUUUUGACCUUUUGGCCUUGGGCACUUUUUCUCCAGCAGAAACUGCUUUGACAGUUUUCAGGAGUUGUGUUAGAAUAUGAAAGGAUAGGAAUGCUGUUCAUCUUUACCUUUUAGUCAUUCCUCUCAUGUUCUUCACUUAAGUAAAUCCACACAUUGCACUGUUUUGUUUUCAGUUCCUAUUUGCCCUCAUGCUGAGAGUGCUGGUUUCCAUUAAUGAGUCCAGCAAUUGAUGACACUCGAUGAUAACUCAGCAUCCAGAAAUCCUGAAAGCAUGCUGACUGUACAAAACACAGCUGUAAGAACUGACUGUGAGGUGGCUAUUUUUUUUCCCUUUUAAAAGGAUGCGGCUAUUUGGUGUUCCCAGCAUGCGUGUCUUGUUGUCACUGUGGGCCAAAGGGAAGUUAAGUGUGGAUUUUGAUGGCUGACAAGAGAGUUUCUUCUUUUUUGACCCCUCAUCUGACUAGAUAAUAUUCUUGCAGCUAUUACAGUAAGGCCAAGAAAGGGGGAAGAAAUUACAGAAGGAUGCAUUCAGAGAAUGAAUGACAAGAAUGGAA